AUGUAGCAGGGGUGUAGCUUGAUUUUAAUUUUGGAGGGAAAGGGGUCCCUCUUGAUUUAAGUGGCACAUCUGUGCAGCCGACUGGCAAGGCCAAAUGGGAAUCCAUUGUGUCAUGCUUGUGUACCAGCCUUCCCAGACUAUGCAGGGUUUCCAUUAUUUCUUUGCUCCCAGCUGUUUGUUCUAAGUUGUGCCGCUGAAUCACUAGGGUAUGUAAAAGGCCUUGGCAUCAGCUUAAAACCACCAUCUGGAACAGCAGGAUCAUUAAGCCAGCACUGUAAUGUAAAGUGCCUGAAUGCACUCGAAGAUACCCAAAUCAGUGGCCUGGUUUUAAAGCUCUUAAAUAACCAGGGCUCCCAAGGGGACUUCAAAGAAGGGGCUCAGCGCAAAUGAAAAUCAGGCCACUUAAUUAAGUGCCUAAAUCGGGAGCUGGUGCCUAACUUACGCACCAAGGUUGAGAAUGUUGGGCUUUUUCUAGUGGCUGGUUUUCUAGGUGUUGCCACUUUUUGCUCAGCCCAGUAACCCACGAAACAUUUCUCCUUGAAGCUCCUGGCACAGGAAAAUCGAAAGUCCUCUCCCUGGACUAUGCUCUCUCUCUCAGGCACUCCUUAUGACACUGCUGCUGAUCCUAACCCUGGCAGCAUCCUACAAAGUCAACAUCAGCCCUUCAGUUGAUUAGUUUUGCAGCACUUCUGACGGGUUCCCGUUCCCUUCCCAUAUGAACCAGUAAUAACUAUUAAAUAUAAAUUGUUAU
Molecule: long non-coding RNA, 751 nt
Organism: Alligator sinensis (Chinese alligator)
Lineage: Eukaryota; Metazoa; Chordata; Crocodylia; Alligatoridae
Exons: 3
Source: RefSeq, a predicted model, not a curated record